GCAGCAAGCUAGGAGAUCGCUCGCCUUAGGCGAGAGGAAAGUCCGAACACCCUCCCGAACCAAAUUAUGGUGAGGGAUAAACUAUUCCGGGUAAUGCCCGGCAGGAGCAAUCCUCGGGGUGCGAACAGUGACGAUGUCCGCCAAUGUGGCGGAAGUGAAACGGCUAAAUCCCUAUAGGGCGCAAGAGUAAACCCAGGAAUCUGCAUUCAUGUAGAGUCUUGGUGAAAAGUAACUCGCUUGAUUCCGCAGAGUAAUCUGCGGAACAGAUAGAUGAUCUCCCACGACAGAAUUCGGCUUAUCGGCUUGCUGCGGCA
This 314-nucleotide RNase P RNA is filed under the name bacterium. Its description in RNAcentral is "RNase P RNA component class A". It matches the Rfam family "Bacterial RNase P class A". Rfam says of the family: Ribonuclease P (RNase P) is a ubiquitous endoribonuclease, found in archaea, bacteria and eukarya as well as chloroplasts and mitochondria. Its best characterised activity is the generation of mature 5'-ends of tRNAs by cleaving the 5'-leader elements of precursor-tRNAs. Cellular RNase Ps are ribonucleoproteins. The record is from RNAcentral.